UGCAGAAUCCCGUGAACCAUCGAGUCUUUGAACGCAAGUUGCGCCCGAAGCCAUUAGGCCGAGGGCACGCCUGCCUGGGCGU
Molecule: ribosomal RNA, 82 nt
Filed under: Callicarpa glabrifolia
Lineage: Eukaryota; Viridiplantae; Streptophyta; Magnoliopsida; Lamiales; Lamiaceae
Description: partial 5.8S ribosomal RNA
Rfam family: 5.8S ribosomal RNA
About the family: 5.8S ribosomal RNA (5.8S rRNA) is a component of the large subunit of the eukaryotic ribosome. It is transcribed by RNA polymerase I as part of the 45S precursor that also contains 18S and 28S rRNA. Functionally, it is thought that 5.8S rRNA may be involved in ribosome translocation.
Source: RNAcentral